CCCUUAGAUGUUCUGGGCCGCACGCGCGCUACACUGAUCAGUGCAACAAGCAUCCGUCCUUGGCCGACAGGCCCGGGCAAUCUUUGAACGCUGAUCGUGAUGGGGAUAGACUUUUGCAAUUUUUGGUCUUCAACGAGGAAUUCCUAGUAAACGCAAGUCAUCAACUUGCAUUGAUUACGUCCCUGCCCUUUGUACACACCGCCCGUCGCACCUACCGAUUGAAUGGUCCGGUGAAGUCUCCGGAUUGGCGUGCACCCUCGGGUGCUGCCGAGAAGUUGGCUAAACCUUACCAUUUAGAGGAAGGUGAAGUCGUAACA
RNAcentral lists this ribosomal RNA (317 nucleotides) under uncultured eukaryote. Its description in RNAcentral is "partial 18S ribosomal RNA". It matches the Rfam family "Eukaryotic small subunit ribosomal RNA", at positions 1470 to 1796 of the family's 1831-position model. The record is from RNAcentral.